This 355-nucleotide long non-coding RNA is filed under the name Brassica napus (rape). RNAcentral describes it as "long non-coding RNA (BNAP_LNC013748)". The record is from RNAcentral. Lineage: Eukaryota; Viridiplantae; Streptophyta; Magnoliopsida; Brassicales; Brassicaceae.
AGCGCCUGGUAACAUAAUGGAGAAAUCGUGUGUGUAUUGUUUCCAGAUACAGUUUUUUGAGUCUCUCGCCUUGGAGAUGCACUGUGAGCUUUCUCUACAUCUUGCCACUCGUUUGCUCCUGGAACCAUCUCACUGUUCUCUACAGCAGGUUUAGGAUCAUCCUUGUUCAAAGCCGUAUCGUGCUCAUCAUGUGGAGCGUCAUUUCCCACACUCUGUUCUACAUCCUUCAUCACACUUUGUUCUGCAACAGUUACUUCAGGUUGUGCUUCCUCAGUAACAACAGACUUAUCUUUCUUUUGUUUUCCAUUCUUCACCGUAUGUGUAGUUUUGUUGUUAUUAGCUUCCUUUUUACCAC